RNAcentral lists this transfer RNA (75 nucleotides) under Thermoprotei archaeon. Its description in RNAcentral is "tRNA-Arg". It matches the Rfam family "tRNA". Rfam says of the family: Transfer RNA (tRNA) molecules are approximately 80 nucleotides in length. Their secondary structure includes four short double-helical elements and three loops (D, anti-codon, and T loops). The record is from RNAcentral. Lineage: Archaea; Thermoproteati; Thermoproteota; Thermoprotei.
GGGCCCGUCGCCUAGCCAGGAUAGGGCGCCGGCCUUCUAAGCCGGCGGUCGCGGGUUCAAAUCCCGCCGGGCCCG